Molecule: non-coding RNA, 88 nt
Organism: Acanthosepion pharaonis
Lineage: Eukaryota; Metazoa; Mollusca; Cephalopoda; Sepiida; Sepiidae
Source: the annotation of a GenBank genome assembly
CGGUCCCGUACGAUCACCGAUGUUAAGCAAUGUUGAUCCUGGUCAGUACCUAGAUGGGUGAUCGCUUGGGAAUAUCAGAUGCUGUAAU